RNAcentral lists this long non-coding RNA (223 nucleotides) under Panax ginseng (ginseng). RNAcentral's name for it is "long non-coding RNA (PGIN_LNC012232)". The record is from RNAcentral. Lineage: Eukaryota; Viridiplantae; Streptophyta; Magnoliopsida; Apiales; Araliaceae.
GAUUUUUCAACAGUUUAACGGUAAAAUUUUUGCUGUUAUUUUUAUAAAAAUGUUAUUUCUGUAGCUUUUUAUAUCCGACGGUUAUUUCGUUGAAGGGUCCACCAAUGAUUGCGCCGUCGUACAAAUAUUCCUCGACAAAAAGAAUAUUUUCCGACAAAAAGAAUAUUCCCCAACCCUGAUCAAUACAAUGUUGACAGGCCCGCCCAACAAGCUAAUAAUUCAG